CUACGGGUGGCUGCAGUGGGGAAUAUUGGACAAUGGGGGAAACCCUGAUCCAGCAAUGCCGCGUGUGUGAAGAAGGCCUGCGGGUUGUAAAGCACUUUCGGUUGGGAGGACUGCUUCUAGCACUAAUAUUGUUGGAAGUUGACGUUACCUUCAGAAGAAGCACCGGCUAACUCCGUGCCAGCAGCCGCGGUAAUACGGAGGGUGCAAGCGUUAAUCGGAAUUACUGGGCGUAAAGCGCGCGUAGGUGGCUAGAUCAGUCGGGUGUGAAAGCCCCGGGCUUAACCUGGGAACUGCAUCCGAUACUGUCUAGCUUGAGUACAGGAGAGGAGAGUGGAAUUCCACAUGUAGCGGUGAAAUGCGUAGAUAUGUGGAGGAACACCAAUGGCGAAGGCAGCUCUCUGGCCUGAUACUGACGCUGAGGUGCGAAAGCGUGGAGAGCAAACAGGAUUAGAUACCCCGGUAGUC
RNAcentral lists this ribosomal RNA (465 nucleotides) under uncultured bacterium. RNAcentral describes it as "partial 16S ribosomal RNA". It matches the Rfam family "Bacterial small subunit ribosomal RNA", at positions 339 to 795 of the family's 1533-position model. The record is from RNAcentral.